UACAGAGGUCUCAAGCGUUGUUCGGAUUCAUUGGGCGUAAAGGGUGCGUAGGUGGCGCCGUAAGUCGGGUGUGAAAUUUCGGAGCUUAACUCCGAAACUGCAUUCGAUACUGCGGUGCUUGAGGACUGGAGAGGAGACUGGAAUUCAUGGUGUAGCAGUGAAAUGCGUAGAGAUCAUGAGGAACACCAGUGGCGAAGGCGACUCGCUGGACCGGUCCUGACGCUCAGGCGCGAAAGCGUGGGGAGCGAUCCGG
Molecule: ribosomal RNA, 253 nt
Filed under: uncultured bacterium
Lineage: Bacteria
Description: partial 16S ribosomal RNA
Rfam family: Bacterial small subunit ribosomal RNA
Source: RNAcentral